GUCUCAAACCAGAGUCUGUCAAUUGGAUCUGUCAGUUACACACGGAGCAGCUUCAGGUUGUGGAUCUGCUCACGGAGCAGAAGCGCUGCAGCAUCGGACGUGAUGAAUAAGUUAAAGCGCAGCUUCUGUACGUCAGACAGUCAUUUGGAAUUGGCCUAAAAGGCCUUUGGAGCGAAGACGUGUUCGCUCUGAGCUCAGUAUCACUUCAGGGCAGAUGACUUAUUUACAGUGAGCCAAACAGAAAUAGCAAUUUCAUGCCGGCUCACAUUCCUGUUGAGCUGCUUCGUGGAAUCACAGAGACGCCCAACAACCACCUGAAGUCAGUGAGGUUUCACCUGAUGUCUCUCAGCCUCCGGAGCAACACGCGCAUCUACAAAUCCAGCAGGGUAUAUAAAUAAAACUGGACGUGACCUGAGGACAAAGACAGAGCAGAGCCGGGUGGUUGAGUUUGUGAUAAAAAGCACCUACAGCAACAAUGAAGCCUCACAUCAACGCAUCGGGCUGAAUGCUGGGUACCACUGGCUCAUCAGCGGCAACUGUGGAGCCGUCGCUAUAGCAACAGCCUCCUCCAACAAAAGGGCAGGGAUGCAGCAGCUGUAGGUCGCACAGCUGGAUGCAGCCAGACGCAAAACGCAAGCAGUGACUGAAACAAGAGCAAAUCAAGAAGCUCCUAACCUGGAAAACACCAUUGUAUCGGCUCGUACGAAGACACAGGCGCUCCAGCGUUUACUGCUCAUCUGAGCCUCAGCAGGUAGACAUUCAAUGAACAUGAGCAAACACCCAUGAUCCUGUUACACAAUGUGUGCGGAAGACAUUUUGAUAAAAGUGAUUUUCUGACUCGCGACUCAGAUGCGUUGAGUCCAGUGAGCAGAUAAAGCAGCGUUCCAGUCUGUGCCUCCACACACAUCACUGCAAUGAGUCUGAUCGCGUCAAAACCA
This 938-nucleotide long non-coding RNA is filed under the name Betta splendens (Siamese fighting fish). RNAcentral describes it as "lncRNA (ENSBSLG00000013550.1)". Lineage: Eukaryota; Metazoa; Chordata; Actinopteri; Anabantiformes; Osphronemidae. The record is from RNAcentral.